RNAcentral lists this small nuclear RNA (161 nucleotides) under Phaseolus vulgaris (common bean). RNAcentral's name for it is "snRNA U1". It matches the Rfam family "U1 spliceosomal RNA". From Rfam's summary of the family: U1 is a small nuclear RNA (snRNA) component of the spliceosome (involved in pre-mRNA splicing). Its 5' end forms complementary base pairs with the 5' splice junction, thus defining the 5' donor site of an intron. There are significant differences in sequence and secondary structure between metazoan and yeast U1 snRNAs, the latter being much longer (568 nucleotides as compared to 164 nucleotides in human). Lineage: Eukaryota; Viridiplantae; Streptophyta; Magnoliopsida; Fabales; Fabaceae. The record is from Rfam by way of RNAcentral.
AUACUUACCUGGAUGGGGUCAAUGGGUGAUCAAUGAGGCCUAUGGCCUAGGGCAGUGACCUUCAUUGCACAUGGAAGGGGUGCUGAUCUAAGGUCUGUCCAAGUGACAGAGCCUACAUCAUAAUUUGUGGAAUAGGGAGCCUGCGUUCGCGCGGCCCCUGC